UAAAUUAGCUAGCUAAAUUCGAGAUGCAAUUCACCUAGUAAUGUCACGUUCAUAUUGUUGUAUAUCUCUAUUCACACAGACAACUCUGUGUGAAUUCGGCAGGCCCGGAAUUCACUCUGCCUGAGCAAUACGUCACCCCAAGAGGAGCAGAAGUGCGAAGCCAUUGACCUGCAGUGCGCUCCACUAUCCAGCCUGAUAGGCCAUUUCCACAUCCUUCCUUUAAAGCUCACCCUGCUCUAUCAACAUCUGUCAUGGGGAGCCUGUGCCUAUCUCAGGCAUCAAGGCAGGAUACACCCUGGACGGAGUGCCA
Long non-coding RNA from Tachysurus fulvidraco (yellow catfish), 310 nucleotides. RefSeq lists it as uncharacterized. The transcript has 3 exons. Lineage: Eukaryota; Metazoa; Chordata; Actinopteri; Siluriformes; Bagridae. The record is from RefSeq and is a predicted model, not a curated record.